GACGAACGCUGGCGGCGUGCCUAAUACAUGCAAGUAGAACGCACAGUUUAUACCGUAGCUUGCUACACCAUAGACUGUGAGUUGCGAACGGGUGAGUAACGCGUAGGUAACCUGCCUGGUAGCGGGGGAUAACUAUUGGAAACGAUAGCUAAUACCGCAUAAUAUUAAUUAUUGCAUGAUAAUUAAUUGAAAGGUGCAAUUGCACCACUACCAGAUGGACCUGCGUUGUAUUAGCUAGUAGGUGAGGUAACGGCUCACCUAGGCGACGAUACAUAGCCGACCUGAGAGGGUGAUCGGCCACACUGGGACUGAGACACGGCCCAGACUCCUACGGGAGGCAGCAGUAGGGAAUCUUCGGAAAUGGACGAAAGUCUGACCGAGCAACGCCGCGUGAGUGAAGAAGGUUUUCGGAUCGUAAAGCUCUGUUGUAAGGGAAGAAAGGGUGUGAGAGUGGAAAGUUCACACUGUGACGGUAUCUUACCAGAAAGGGACGGCUAACUACGUG
RNAcentral lists this ribosomal RNA (505 nucleotides) under uncultured bacterium. RNAcentral's name for it is "partial 16S ribosomal RNA". It matches the Rfam family "Bacterial small subunit ribosomal RNA", at positions 28 to 507 of the family's 1533-position model. The record is from RNAcentral.